GCUUCCUGCAGAGUUGGUAGGGCCAGCCAGGCAGCAACCCCCAUCGGACUUCCCACUGGCCUUGGCCGUGGUUCGCCAGGCUCUAAGUCAGCAGAGCACAGCAAAUCAGAUCUACUCUCCACCCCCACUUCCAGCCCCACCCCAGUCUAGCGGCCCCUAAGGAGCCCCGGGCAGCCUCCCUAGCUGCUGCUGCCUGGCCCGGGAGCUCUGUGGCUGAGGGAGGCCCAGCUCUGAGACUGGGAGGACGCGGGCUCGCACUGGCUGGAGGUGGGUAUGCUGUGGGGCAGCGGCCCAGGCAGGGGAAGAAGGUCACCGGCGAGAGGAGAAGGAGAGGAGCAAGCCAGCCGGUCUCCCUCCAGUGCAGGACACAGAAGCAUCUUGGAGGUCCAGAACACCCAGCGUCUCCACCUCUACCAGCAGGCCCUCCGCCUGCCCCCAGUGCCCCUGCCGCUCCUGCUGGGCCCUCCAGCCCUGGUCAUGCCAGCUCCUUGGCCCCAGAGCGUCUCUAGCCUCCAGAUCCCAAACCUCUGGUGGGUCUCCAGGCUAGUAGCUGAGCUCUGGAUGCGACAGAAGACUCCCCAAAGACUCUUCAUUGCCUGGAACAGGCCAUAUCCAGUCCCAGCGGAAGGUAGGAGGAGAGUUUAUGAGACAACAUCAUGAGUCACCAUAUCUAAUGGCUUCCCAGAGGAGCUGUGCCUGGACAUGGAACUGCUCCUUCCCACAGGUGGCUGGGAAAGCACACGCUAAAGCUGGGCUCUGAUUCAGAGACACACAGAGCAGGACCACCUCUGCGGCAUACCCCCGAGCCCCCUGGAGAAUGACACAGAACCCCUCUGAUCCCAGUUCUCGCAUUUCAAACGGGGAUCAUACCUAACAUGUUUGCCUCAAGGGGUAAUUGGGAGGGUUAGAUAAAAUAAUGCAUGUGCAAGUGCUUUGUUAAAUGCUGGGCAAAUGAAGCAGCUGACACCAUGAUGGGAGAGAGUGAUGGAUGCAUGGUAGCCUUGGC
RNAcentral lists this long non-coding RNA (1006 nucleotides) under Zalophus californianus (California sea lion). RNAcentral describes it as "lncRNA (ENSZCAG00015023423.1)". Lineage: Eukaryota; Metazoa; Chordata; Mammalia; Carnivora; Otariidae. The record is from RNAcentral.